This 689-nucleotide ribosomal RNA is filed under the name uncultured bacterium. RNAcentral describes it as "bacterial SSU rRNA". It matches the Rfam family "Bacterial small subunit ribosomal RNA", at positions 126 to 812 of the family's 1533-position model. The record is from RNAcentral.
CUGCCCGUAGCAGGGGGAUAAGCGGAAGAAAUUCCGUCUAAUCCCGCGUAAUAACUCCGAGAGGCAUCUCAUGGAGUUUAAAGGGUAACACCGGCUACGGAUGGCCAUGCGGCGCAUUAGCUAGUUGGCGGGGUAACGGCCCACCAAGGCGACGAUGCGUAGGGGUUCUGAGAGGAAGGUCCCCCACACUGGUACUGAGACACGGACCAGACUCCUACGGGAGGCAGCAGUGAGGAAUAUUGGUCAAUGGGCGCGAGCCUGAACCAGCCAAGUCGCGUGAGGGAAGACGGUCCUAUGGAUUGUAAACCUCUUUUGUCGGGGAGCAAGAGACGCCACGCGUGGCGUUCCGAGAGUACCCGAAGAAAAAGCAUCGGCUAACUCCGUGCCAGCAGCCGCGGUAAUACGGAGGAUGCGAGCGUUAUCCGGAUUUAUUGGGUUUAAAGGGUGCGCAGGCGGAAGAUCAAGUCAGCGGUAAAAUUGAGAGGCUCAACCUCUUCGAGCCGUUGAAACUGGUUUUCUUGAGUGAGCGAGAAGUAUGCGGAAUGCGUGGUGUAGCGGUGAAAUGCAUAGAUAUCACGCAGAACUCCGAUUGCGAAGGCAGCAUACCGGCGCUCAACUGACGCUCAUGCACGAGAGUGUGGGUAUCGAACAGGAUUAGAUACCCUGGCAGUCCACACAGUAAACGAUGA